RNAcentral lists this long non-coding RNA (42313 nucleotides) under Panax ginseng (ginseng). Its description in RNAcentral is "long non-coding RNA (PGIN_LNC002890)". The record is from RNAcentral. Lineage: Eukaryota; Viridiplantae; Streptophyta; Magnoliopsida; Apiales; Araliaceae.
GAGAAGAGAUAACAUGGGAAUAUGAGAGGUGAUAUAUAUUUUUUUGGAUUUUCUCAAGAUAUUACAAUGUAGAGAAUGUACGCAAAUAGAUACAUGACAUAUUGAUAAGGUUUGCUUGAUCCUUAUCUUAUUCACGCACUUAAUAUUAUCUAAUUGUAGCUAUUCUUAUCACUUAAUAUAUGACAUUUUAGGUGAUUUUAUUUGUCCCAAAUUAUUUGACAUUUUAGAAAAUCUAGGAGAAUUAAUUACAAUCUUUUCAAAAUUAUCCCUCAUGGAAAAAUGUUAUAGAUGAGAGAAAAAGUAUGAAAUAAGUAUGAUAAUAAAUGAGAUUUUAAGGGUAUUAUAGAUAAUUGAUACUAUAUUUAAUACUUUUUGAUCAUUUCCUUAAAACAUCAUAUAUUAUCAAAAACACAUGUGAAAUAAUAAAACGGGAGAGUAAAUAAAAUUUAAUAUUGCGAAUCAAUCUCAUGCAUUAAUUCUCAUACCAUUUCUCUCUCUCUCUCUUUCUCAACUAUAGAUCUAUAUAUAUAAGAAACACAAAGACUCAUACAUCUAAGUAAAUAAUAAUUUUUUUUGUGUGUAAGACUGUGCAGAUGGAAGUUGCAGUGAAGUUUGCAGUAGUGAAGUUGGUGAUGAUGAUACUAAUGGCUUUUAUGAUUUCCAUGGGAGUUGCUACGCCUCCGUGCUGUCCUCGUAUUCCAGACUGUUGCCUUGCUGUCGAAGGUGUGCCACAAGGUCAAAAUCCCUUGGUCGUACUAAUCAAUAGUUUUAAUGGCUAAUUAGUUGCAGUAAUCUUUAUACUGGUUAAAUAAGAGAAGUGACUAUUCUCAUCAAUUAUUUUGCAUUACGCUAAUAUUAUGUCAUAUCUAAGUUCUAUGAAUUUUUUUUUUUUUUGGUUCUCUCGGUAUGUUGUGAGCUAGAUUAAAUUACUACUAUAAAUUGAAGAUUCUGAGACAAGAUAAAUCCAUAACAAAUGAAAUUGUUUAAUUGAUCGCAAAUUUUGAUAUCUAAAUUAAAUCGACUUUGAAUUUAAAAUAUUUAAAAUUGACUUUCUUAAUCAAAAAUAAUGUUAUAUUUUGGAAGAGAGAGAUUACAUGUGUAUAUAGGAGGAAUUAAUUAUUCUUUCUCUGCCAUUCUUCUGGCCAGAUCUGGAUUGUAAAAGUGUUUAUUGAAAAAAAAUAUUAAAAAGUGAAGAGAGAAGGACCGGGAUGGGGGGAGGCGAACGGAUUCUGUGCGUGGUCGGAGGCCAACAGAUGGGGGACCAGGACCGAGAGACUGAGGGACGAGAUAGGGAAUAGUGGGAGGAGGAAGAUCAACGAUGAAGGGGAAUUUUACUAAUUUCAAGGAGUAUAAAAGCAAUACUCAUCAACAUAAGUGUAGAAUUAGGAAUAUAAAACGAAAUAAUAUUACUUACAUACUACAGAGUAUGGAAGAAAAUAUUAUUUCUUACGAAUACUAAACAAAAUAAUAUCCCUUACCUUAAAAGGAGAGUAUUUCUGACUGGUAUGGCGGGGAUAUUCUUGAAGAAAGCUUAUACUGUUUUCUACACUCAAAGCUUCCUUAAACUCAAAAGAAAUACGCUCAAUAUUAUAGCAGAAGAAUUCUUCGAUUCUGGUGUGAUUUUCAAUUCUAAACUAAGCAUCCUAUUUAUAGAAGAAUGAUAGGAUACUAUUUAAGAAAAAAAAUCACGGAUGUACUGGAAAAAUAUCACGGUUUGCAAUUCAUCAGCAUGUUAUUAGCAACAAACAAUUAGGGAGUGCCCUCCCAUGAAGGUAACUAGACUUUGGGAGAUUUAAACCAAUGAGGGAGCACCCUCAUUCAUAAGUUAGUGAAUAGGAAUUUCAUAUUUGAACAUUUUGGCCAAUAAGAUCCGAUCUUUGGAAUUAAUUUCAUAAUUUUCCAAAUAGAUAACCUUAUUUGAAGGUAAUCAAUUCGUAUCCUCCAAAAUUAAAUAGAACAAAUACUAAUUUAACAAGAUUAUUGAACAAACAUCUUCCAUUUAUCAAUUAUUAUUCUUAUCUUUAAUCAACACAAUCUUUCAAUAAUUAUUCAUUAUUCAUAUUAUAACUCACAAUAUUAACAACCAGAUCAUUCCCAGGAAAGUUAGGGCUUUUCGAUAAGGACUUUUCCUUAUUGGCGCGUAAUUAGGUGACCAAACCCCUUUUCUUGACAAAACUUUCUAGACAUUAUCAAUAAUGAAAAUAAUAAAAUGAAUAACUUAGUCAUCUCAAUUAUUGAUUUAAUAAUAUAAAAUAUUAUGCAGAUGAUACUAUGAAAAUAAUUGAAUCAAUAAUGUGAGAUAUUAUGCAGUAACUACUGUUUCAAUAAUUGAGUAUAACAAAGUCACUUCUCACGUAACCAUAAAUAAUCAAAGAUAUUGUACAAUACCAUAUGCUACUAUACAACCACGCGUAUUACUGUACUUUUAUCACCUGGUAUUUCAACAGUUAACGAUAAAAGUUUUGCCGUUAUUUUUAUAAAAAGUUAUUUCUGUCAUUUUCUAACUCCGACAAUAAUUCUGUUGUGAGGUCCACCAAUGAUUGUGUCGUCGUACGAAUAUUCCCUAAUAAAAUGAAUAUUUCCCGACCAAAAGAAUAUUUUAUACACCUUAUUAUUCAAAAUAAUAUUUAGAGAAAUUAAAUCUUUAUUUAUAAAAAGUUGGGGUUUUACAACCUCCUCUCCUUAUGAAAUUUCGUCCUCGAUAUUGGGGUACGUACUAGGUAUGCCGAAGAAGUAAGAAUACCUUAUUUUCAUUUUAGAUUUUAACUCUUGAGGUAUAACCUUUGAGCGUAGAAUAUAUUUCUUCUUAUCUAAGAUUUUAACAGGUACCUCUUCAUAUGUUAAAUCUUCCGCUAUCUCGUUUAGUUCUAAUUCAAUAAUGUGGUUCGGGUCUUCCACAUAUUUACUUAAUAUAGAUAUAUGAAAAAUAUUAUGAACAUGAGACAUACUUAGCGAUAAGGCGAGUCUAUAGGCCACAUUUCCUACUCGAUCGAGAAUUUCAAAUAGACCAAUAAAUCGAAGGUUUCAUCUUUCCUCACUUCGUCGAUUCUCGUUUUUGGAAUAACAACUUCUUGCACCUUUUUCUUCAUAUUCAUCAGCUAUAGGUCUGUUGCUUGAGUAGCUUUAAAUUUAUCGAUUAAAGUCAAUUCUAAUUGUAUAUUUGACAUCAUCAUGUGGGUCCCUAGAGUCUUUAACUCUAUCUUCAUCAUUUGUAAGUCAUACGAAAUAGGUCUUUGUGUUAACGACGCCGCACUCAUAACCGCAUAAGAUCUUCAACUUAACGUGUCAGCUACCACAUUCACUUUUCUAGGAUGAUAUUGAAUGGUAUGAUCGUAAUCUUUCAAUAGCUCAAGUCAACAUCUUUGGCGCAUUAUACGUUCGUUUUGGUUGAAGAAAUUUUUUAGGGUUUUGUAUCGGGUUCAAGGUCAAUACAAAAUUCAAUUUCACGCUCUGGGGUAGGCCAGGAAGUCUUUAGAGAAUACGUCAGAAAAUUUCUUAACGAUAGAAAUAUCAUUCAAAUCUAACGUAUUUUUCUUUAAAUCUGUGACAUGGGCUAUGAAAGCUUGACAUCUAUUUUUUUAAUAAACCAAUGGCUUGAUAUGACAGUUACUGAUUUUAGUGGUUUGGUUGCUUAAAUUCGCAUAACAGGCUGGCUAGGAAUAUGAAAGCUAACAACCUUACGAAAAUAAUCAAUUUUAGCAUGAUGAGUAGUUAACCAGUCGAUUCCUAAAAUCACAUCAAAUGCAUGUAUUUCCAAAGAGAUGAGAUCACAUAGGUAAUGUGAAAGUGUCGAUUUAAAUCAAACAAGAUUUAUAAACAGUGGAUGUAAUGAAGGUUUCUCCCAACGAAGUUUCAACAGAUAAGUCAAAGUCUAAUUUCUCUAGAGUCAAAUAUAAAGGUUGAGCGCAAGUAUGUGAAAUAAAAGAAUGGGUAGAACCGAUAUUAAAUAAGGUAUAAACUUUGAAAGAGUUUAUGAUUAGCUUACCUAUGAUAACUUCGUUCGGGUUCCUCACUUUUUGGGAAGUCACAAAAAAUGCUCUCCCUUAAACUACCAACUUUGACUUGUUUGGGACAGUCUUUGGUGUCCCCAUCCCAGCUGAACUUGACUUCGCUGUAUGACAAAAUCAAGCUAAAUGACCUUUCUUUCCAAAAUUGAAACACACUUUGGGUUGCUGCGUACAGUUUGGACGGAUGUUCCCCUCUUUUUCGUAUUUGUAGUAUACGACCGGUGGUCAUUCUCAUUCUUUAGAAACGGGUGUUGGUGCUGCUAUCGAUGUCUUUCCAUCAUUGUUGAAUCUUCUUUUCUUAAAGUUGUUCCCACUUGGUUCACCUUUCCUAUUAUCUUGGCUGUGAUUACCACCGAAGUGGUUACCAUUUCUGGCAUGAUAAUUUCCUCCACGAUGAUUAUCAUUGUCCCGAUGGUCGUUGCCACCAGUACGAUUAUUAUCGUGUUGUUGGUCGUUGUCUUUUGGUUAGGCUGACUCAUUAUCGCGCUCCAAUAACUGAGCCCUAUUCACAACAUCUAAAUAUAAACAAAGUUUAUGAGAAAUGAGGUAUUGACAAAUUUCGGGCUUCAAACCUUGCAGAAACAUUCGCGUCAUACGCUUCUCAUUAUCAACCAAAUGGGAUGCAAACCGGGAUAACUCCGCAAACUUUUCCUUUUAUUGUGAUACGGCCAUGUUGUUCUAUUCUAGCUUAAUGAAUUCCACCUUCUUCAUGUAACGAAUACUUUCAAGAAAGUACUUGUCGUUGAACAAUUCCUGGAACUUCUCCCAAGACAUCUUCAGUGCGGAAAGAUGAGUAUGUUUUACAAAUUCCCACCAGUAAUCUGUCUUUCCUCGCAACAUGAAGGUGGAAAAGGGAACCUUUUGCUCCUCUGAGCAUCCCAAGACAUCAAAUAUCUUGAUGAUCUGCUUAAUCCACGCCUCUGCCUUAAGUGGCUCUGGCUUUCUAAAAAACUCUGGUGGUCCCAACUCCUUGAAUUGCUUAGCAGUGACCAACCGUGAGUUACCAAUGUUUCCACCUGCAUUUUGAACAGGAGUCUCUCUCGUUUGGUUUUACAUGAAUUCUAGAAAGUUCCAAAACAUACCAUCAUUUUUCAUUUAGUCGGCGUUGUUAUUUACAUGAGAAUUAUUUCCUUCCUGAUGCACAUUAUCCUGGUUAUUGAUUGGCGGUGACUCAAUGGUCGCAUGUGUUCCAUUGCUUAUCUCAACAUUUUUAGAUGCCAUUUUCAAACACUGCCAUAAAACAAGGGUUAAUUGACAUGCCACUUAUUAUCCCUAUAUUCCGACCAACCAAUUAAAUAACAAAUAAGCUUAGGUAGGUCAUACUAGCGAAGGAUUUACUCGUCUCUCUCCUCCUAGUUCUAGCCCCAAAUCUCAGCCAGAGAUCAUAUCCCUAAGCUUUGAUACCAACUGUGACGCCCCCAAAAUAAGUAUAAAAAACCCAUUCCGAGUCGCUAAAUGCAUGGUACAUAACUUAAAUACAAACUUAAUUUAUAUAACUGUUGUGCAAAAUACGACAACACAAUAGCUGAGUUUUAACACGAAUAUUAUCUCGUAGACAAUAUCCAAACUCAAAUGAAGUCCUCAUAAUAAUUAUUAUCACACUAUUUCAUAGAAUAGAGAGGACUACUAUAGCAACCAUCUUGGACCGUCACUCCAUUCUCCGACUAGUCCCAACUAUAUUCUCAUUUCCUGAAAAGAACAAUGAAAGAAAAGGGUGAGUUGAACUAGCCUAGUAAAGAAUAUUAUGACUAAGAUAAUGCAAAAUAAAUUAUCCUUAGCCUUCAACAAUGUAAAACUGAUAGAAUACAAUAGACAACAAGUUUAACUAUAGCGGAACAAGCAAUCCAUUAGAAGAGUCAAGUAGAACAUGAUGUCUACUAUCUUCUAUGAUUUAAAAGUUCAUCAUCAAUAUUUUAUCUUUGCAACAAAAUUCAAUAAAUAAUCCACAUCACUGAAUUAUCCAUGCACUACGGGCCAAGGAUAUUCGUUAGUAUCACAUCCUUGAAUUAUCCAUGCACUACGGGCCAAGGAUAUUCAUUAUUAUCACAUCCAUAAAUUAUCCAUGCACUACGGGCCAAGGAUAUUUGUUUGUAUCACCAGUGGGCAUGAUCAUGCCAACAACUGUCCAUCAAUGCACUACGGGCCAAUGAGGACUUUUACCACAUCAUUUGUAACAUUAUAGGUCAUGAUUAUACCGAUACAUAAUUCCUGGUCAUAAUCACACCCAUCAACAGUCCAUCUAUGCACUACGAGCCAAAGAUGACUUUCAUUACAAUAUAAGCAUGAGGAUGAUGACAAUGAUAUAAGAAUUCAAUUAAGUGAGAGCAAGGAUAAAUUUUAAAGAUUUAUAAUUCAAUUUAUCCAGAGUUCAAGAAUGUCCAAAUUGUCAACAUGACAAUUGCUUUGUGGAGUAAAAUUCAAGAAUAAUAUUCAUGUAUUAAAAAUAAUUUAGACAGAAAAGAAAUUAAUUUUUUGUCGUGAAUAGUACCCCAGAUGAAUAGUACCCUGUGAAAAGUACUUUGUGAAUAGUACCCCAUGAAUAGUACCAUAUGUAUGAAUAGUACUGUAUAUAUGAAUAGUACCAUAUGUAUGAAUAGUACCCAUGAAUAAUACUCUGGCAUGAAAAGCUUAAAAUUUAACAAGAAUGUUCAAAAAAAUAUUUCAGUGGAACAAUACUAGAUGAAGCGCAAAAUUCAAGGAUAUUUUACUAAUUUCAAAGAGCAUAGAAGCAAUACUUAUCAACAUAAGUGUAGAAUUAGGAAUAUAAAACGAAAUAAUAUUACUUACAUACUACAGAGUAAGAAAGAAAAUAUUAUUUCUUAUGAAUACUGAACAAAAUAAUAUCCCUUACCUUAAAAGGAGAGUAUUUCUGACUGGUAUGGCAGAAAUAUUCUUGAAGAAAACUUAUACUAUUUUUUAGACUCAAAGCUUCGUUAAACUAAAAAGAAAUAUGCUCAAUAUUAUAGAAGAAGAAUUCUCUGAUUCUGGUGUGAUUUUAAAUUCUAAAAUAAACAUCCUAUUUAUAUGAGAAUGGCAGGAUACUAUUUAAGAAAAAAAAAUUCAAGGAUGUACAAGAAAAAUAUCAUGGUUUGCAAUUCAUCAGCAUGUUAUUUGCAACAACCAAUAAGGGAGUUCCCUCCCAUGAAGGUAACUAGACUUUGGGAUAUUUAAACCAAUGAGGGAGCACCUUCAUUCAUAAGUUAGUGAAUAGGAAUUUCAUAUUUGAACAUUUUGGCCAAUAAGAUUUGAUCUUUGCAAUUAAUUUUAAAAUCUUCUAAAUAGAUAACCUUAUUUGAAGGUAAUCAAUUCGUAUCCUCUAAAAUUAAAUAGAAAAAAAUACUAAUUUAACAAGAUAAUUGAACAAACGUCUUCCACUUAUCAAUUAUUAUUCUUAUCUUUAAUCAACACAAUCUUUCAACAAUUAUUCAUUAUUAAUAUUAUAAAUCAUAAUAUUAACAACCAGAUCAUUCCCAGGAAAGAAGGGGCUUUCCGAUAAAGACUUCUCCUUAUUGGCGUGCAAUUAGGUGACCAAACCCCUUUCCUCGACAGAACUUUCUAAACAUUUUCAAUAAUUAAAAUAAUAAUAUGAAUAAUUUUAUCGUCUCAAUUAUUGAUUUUAUAAUAUAAAAUAUUAUGCAGAUGGUACUGUGACAAUAAUUAAAUCAAUAAUGUGAGAUACUAUGCAGUAACUACUGUUGUAAUAAUUGAGUAUAACUGAGUCACUUCUCACUUAAGCAUCAAUAAUCAAAGAUACUAUACAAUACCGUGUGUUACUAUGCAUCCAUGCGUAUUACUGUACUUAUAUCACUGGGUAUUUCAACAGUUAACGGUAAAAGUUUUGCCGUUAUUUUUAUAAAAAGUUAUUUUUGUCGUUUUCAAACUCCGACAGUAAUUCUAUUAUGGGGGUCCACCAAUGAUUGUGCCGUCAUACGAAAUUCCCUGAUAAAGCAAAUAUUCCCCGACCAAACUAAUGUUUUAUGACAACUUGCUCACUUUGCAAAAUUUGUAAAUAUUACUCACAACUAUAACAUUAUAUAAAAUCCACACUUUAUUAUUCAAAAUAAUAUUUAGAGAAAUUAAAUCUUUAUUCAUAAAAAGUUGGGGUCUUAUAGACAGGUUACUCCCGCAGAUUAAUAAAGAAUGAAUAUGAAGGGUUAUUCACCAUGCAUGCGGUAAUCCACGUAGACAGGUUACUCCUGCAGAUUAAUAAAGAAUGAAUACGAAGGGUUAUUCACCAUGCAUGCGGUAAGCUGCGUAGACAGGUUACUCCCGCAGAUUAAUAAAGAAUGAAUACGAAUGGUCAUUCACCAUACAUACGGUAAUCCGCAUAGACAGGUUACUCCUGCAGAUUAAUAAAGAAUGAAUACGAAGGGUCAUUCACCAUGAAUGCGAUAAUCUGCGUAGACAGGUUAUUCCCGCAGAUUAAUAAGGAAUAGAAUAAUAAUCCUUAUGAAUAUGAAAAAAAUAACAUCCUUUACAAAUACAAAAGAAAUAAUACCCCUUAUCUUAGUAGGAGAUUAGAUACUGCAAUAUUGAAGUAGUAGAAUACUCUUUUUCUUUCUCUCUAUAGAUUCAGUGAAUUCGUAACAAACAAUGAAGGAAUGAGCUUCUAUUUAUAGGGGAAUGUACUAAAUAGUAACUAAUUCACGAACGGUCUAGAUUGAUUUACUAUUAAAACGGACGGUCUAAAUUGAUUUACUAUUAUAACUUCAACCGGCGGUCUAUAUUGAUUUACUAUUAUAACUUCAACCAACGGUCCAUAUUGAUUUAUUAUUAUAUCUUCAACCAAUGGUUCGAAAAUUUUGCACAUCUCCUCAUGGAAUAAUAAGUCAAACUUACAACAGACGCCUCACGACAAAUCCCUCUAUUUAUAUUAAAAAUUGAAUAAAUAUUUACCACAAAUCAUUUAUCUCCAAUCAAAACAUUUUUAAUCUUUCGACUAUUAUUCAUCAUUUAAUAUUAUAACUCAUAAUAUUGACAACCAGAUCAUUACUAAGAAAGAUGGGGCUUUCUGAUAAGGAUUUCUCCUUACUGGCGCGUAAUUAAAUAACCAAACCCCUUUCCUCGACAGAAUUUUCUAGACAUUGUCAAUAAUGAAUAUAAAAAUAUGAAUAAUUGUGUCGUCUCAAUUAUUGAUUUAAUAAUAUAAAAUAUUGUGCAGAUGAUACUGUGACAAUAAUUGAAUCAAUAAUAUAAGAUACUAUGCAGUAACUAUUGUGGAAAUUAUUGAAUGAGACUGAGUGACUUCUUACGUAAGCAUCAAUAAUCAGAGAUACUGUGCAAUACCGCAUCCUACUGUACAACAACGCGUAUUACUAUACUUUUAUCGCCAAAUAUUUCAAUAGUUUAACCGUAAAAGACUUGUCGUUAUUUUUUAUAAAAGGUUAUUUCUGUCGCUUUCUAUAUCCGACAGUUAUUCCGUUAUGUGGUCCACCAAUGAUUGCGCUGUCGUACGACUAUUCCCCGACAAAAAGAAUAUUUCCAGACUAAACGAAUAUUUUUUGACCAUUUGCUUACUUUGCAAAAUUUUCACAUAUCACCCAUAAGUAUAGCAUUAUAUUAAAUCAUCACCUUACUAUUCAAAAUAAUAUUUAGAGAAAAUUCAAUCUUUAUUUAUAAAAGUUGGGGUCUUACAUAUAACAUUUCUUCAAAAUAUUUGUUAUUUUCUAUCAUUAUUUGAAUUGACAUUUUUUCAUACGUCAAGUCUGUUUCAACCAUUAUAUGUUCAUAUUCAAUUACGUGCUUGUAAAUAGGUUUAUACGUUCGUAAAAUUGACACAUGAAACACAUUAUGUACAUGUUCUAACUCAGGAGGUAAGGCAACCUCGUACCCCACUUCCCCUACUCUUCUUAACACUUCAAAUGGUCCUAUAAAUCGCAAAUUUAACUUUCCUUUAUUGCCAAAACGUAUUUUUCCCUUUCAGGGUGCACUACAAGUAAAAUACUUGAGGUUGACGAAAUUAUUUCCGAUAGAUGACAGUCCAUCGAUAAUAAUAUAUUUUCGACGAAAUUUUCAGUCGAAAAUAAUUCAGUCAGAGGUAUUGUAAGUUCGAUAGAAUUCAGUCGGAAAAAAGGCUGCCCAAAGUGGCCAACCUUUCGCGCCUCAGGGAAUUUAUAUUUAGACGGAAUAAGCUUUAUGUUCGAUGAAUAAUCUAUCAAAAAUAAAUUCAAUUUGACGGACCUAUUUUUGACAGAAAUUCUGUCGAAACUAAUCUAUUUUAAUUGGGUCUUACGGAUUUGUCGAUCAUUUUCUUUCACUGCUGUAACGCCCCCAAAAUAGGUAUACAUCACCCAUUCUGAGUCACCAAAUACAUGGUACGAAAUUUAAAUACAACUUAAUUAUACAACUGUCGUGUAAAAUACGACAAAAUAUAGCUGAGAGUUUUGACACAAAUAUUGUCUUCUAGUAUCCAAACUCAAAUGGAGUCCUUAUUAAAAUUAUUAUCACACUAUUUUAUAAAAUAGUGAGGACUACUACAGCAACCAUCUUAGACCAUGUGACACCCCCAAAAUAGGUAUACAUCACCCAUUCUGAGUCGCCAAAUACAUGGUACAGAAACAACUACAACUUAUUAAUACAAUUGUCGUGCAAAAUACGACAACACAAAUACUGUGAGUUUAAAUAUAAAUAUUGGCCUCUAGACAAUAUCCAUACUCAAAUAAGUCCUCAUUACAAUUAUUGAUACACUAUUUUACAAAAAUAGUGAAGACUACUAAAACAACUUUUUAGAACCAUUACUCUAUACCCCGGCUAGAUCCUACUACUAUAUUCUCACCUCUUGAGAAGAAAAAUGGAACAAAAAGGAAAAGGGUGAGCUCAACUAGCCCAGUAAAGAAUAUUAUGACCAAGAUAAAGAACAACAAUUUAUCUUUAGCCUUCAACAAAUCAGAUAAAAUAUACUGGACAACCAGUUUUAGAUCAAUAAUCGUAGCGAAAAUAACAAUUCGUUAGAAGAGUUAAGUAGAGAAUGAAAUCUACUAUCAUCUAUGAAUUUAAAAGUCCAUCAUCAAUAUUUUAUCCCUGUAACAUCAAUCAAUAUACAUCUUGCAUUAAAUAUUCAUCUUUGCACUACGGGCCAAAGAUAUUAAUUUGUAUCACUAGUUGGUCAUGUUCAUCUCAACACCUGUUCAUCUUUACACUACGGGCCAAAGAUAUUUAUCAGGUAAUCAUUUAUCUUUGCACUACAGGCCAAAGAUAUUCAUCAAGUAUCACCAUUAAAGACUGAGGAUGAUGAAAAACAUUUUAGAUAACGAAUCCAGUGAAAUUAGAAGACAAAGAUUAGAGAUUCGUACUUUAGAUAAUUCAAGUUUAAAAAUACUCCAUAAUAAACCAUAAUGGAGUAAAAUUCAAGAAUGAAGAUCAAAAUAAGGAUACAAUCAAAGAUAGUAACCAUAAUAAACAUCUGGGACAAAGAAGCGAAAAUUUUAUUUUUCGGUGAAUAGUGUCAUAUUUAUGAAUAGUGUCGUAUACGUGAAUCGUAACCCCGACACAAAAAAGGUAGAAAUUUCACAAUAAAAUUCAUACCAAUAUUUCAGCAUAAUGAUAUUGAAAGAAAUAAUAUCAUUUACGAAGAAAAUAACAUCCCUUACCUAAAAAGAACAGUACUUUUGAUAGGAAUAUCGAAUGUAAAGCCGAAGGAAACUUAUACUGAAUAGCAACUCUCAAAGUAUCUUAAUACUCACAAAAAUACGCUCGAUAAUAUAGAGCGAGAAAACUUAUGUUUCUGGUGUAAUUUUCAAUUCUAACCUAAGCACCUAUUUAUAGGAAAAUGCUAGAACGCCAAAAUAGACUAAAUUAAUAAAAUAUUAUUAAUUUUAUUUUUCUUCUACGCAUGCCUACUUUGAAAACUUAUCAGCCAUCCACCUUUGAACAAAAAUUCCAGCACAUGUUUUCACAAAAACAAAAGUGGGUCCGACCCAUAAUUUUAAAAAAUAUUUAAUUUUUGAAACUUCAAUAAUUCAUAAUAAAUAGCCCUUUUAUCAGAAAAAUAUGAAUUUUAUAUCCAUUCCAUAGGAAAUCAAAUUCUCUACAACUUUGUAGCUUUAAGUUUUUCCAAAUUCUAAACGAAAAAUGCUCAAAAUCCACAUACGAACGAUUUUUAAUACCUCCAUUCCGACAAAAUACUGAUAAAAUACCCUCAGCAUUAAUUCCUUCAUUUAUAAUCACAUAAAAUAAAUAUUUCCCAAUUCGUCAUUUAUAUCCACAUAAAAUAAAUAUUUCCUUAUCAUAUAAAUCAAUAAUUAAUUAUUCACAAAUAAUAUUACAGAAUCUGUAACGACCCCAAAAUUCAUACAAUAUAAUUCUCGACUUCGGUCGUUAAUAAUACAUUCACCCUUUAAUUUUACAUCCUUAAACGAUAAUACAACCAUUGAAAUUUGCGGAAUAAUUAAAAUUUUCUAUUACAAACUAUCCUCGUUCCCAAAAUCUUCAACCUUUACAUCUAAAUAUUUCAGAAUCAUUUUAAUACUACAAUAAUUUACAUCGCAAAACGAUAUUACAAUUCAACAUUAAUACAUUAUUCGGAACCUUAAACAUGAUUUAAAUAAUAAUAACACAACCAAAGUGUAUAAAUCUUCAAGUAUCACAUCUGAUUCAUGUCUUUCAAGUAACACAUAACUUUACCUUGAAUCUUGAACCUGCAAAAGUGGUUAUUUGCAAGGUUGAGCUCGACAGCUCAGCAAAAUCUAACAGUUUUCAUGCAUCACAUAGCACAUAAUAACAUGUUCAAGAUAUAACAUACAUGCUACAGUUCAUAUAACAAGUAUAAAGAUUGAGUCUUUACUCAAUCAGCAUGCUUUAAUCAAUCAACAUAGUCAUAAAUCGACAUUAACAUUUCAUACUUUCAACAUAUAUAUAACACAUCAUGCUUUUUGCAAUAAAGAUUUAAAACAGUUAAUCAUCAAGUUCACAUAGCAAAUAAGAACUGAAAAACUUGUCUGAUCCGUAGUUUAUGAACUACAACUUAACUGCUUAACGCUUAUCUGCACUUCGUGUAUUCCUACACAGUUACAUAAUCAUGGAUUCACAUCCAUUAGUCAUAUAUUAACGCAUAGUAGUUGUAAUGUAAACUUUACGCUAUAUCUCAUAAGUCCGAUGACAUCCAACUUUGGAUAUGCUAUAAACAUCAUAUUAACCUAUUUUUAAAAGUUAUUGGACACCCAUUUUGGAAAAGAUAGACAGUCCAGAACAGUGUUCAAAACGGGCGUUCAAAUCUGUUUUUCAUUCUUUCCCAGCUUUACCCUCUCUCGCUAAAACAGUCAUAACUAAUUCGUUUCAAAACAUUUUUGAGCGAUUUUUGAGCCCACGCGAAGCUAACUUCCGAGGCUACAACUUUCAUUCUUUGACUAAUUCCAAAUUCAAAACACAGAAUUCCAGAAAAUUCAUUCAAGGUGAUUGUCCCGAGUUGGCUAGAUAGUUUUGACGCGACUACUUUGAAUGGUCAUAACUCUUUGCUCCGAAGUCGGAAUUAGUCUGUUCUAGAGUCUAUGGAAAGAUAAUUCAGUGUACUAUAACAUACCAAAAGUUCAGAAGUUUCUGGAAACAUUAACUGAUCGAAAUAGUGUCCCGAAUAGCACCUCCCGCUGCUGACUUUCAGUUUGACAAAUUCGACAAAUUUCCUUCCAAUCACCGUAACUCCCUCAUCCGAGGUCGGAAUGAGGUCAUUCCAAAGCCUAUGGCUUUCUAACUCAAUGCACUACAACUACCCAGAAACUCAAAAUUUUUCAGGCAACAUAGCUAUUCCAGAAUUUGACACUAUAGCCACUAUUCAUUCAGUUUUCAUUUCUAGCAUGGUUUACUAAAAUCUUCACCACGGAUUCAUUUUAACUCCUUUUUGGUUCAUUCAAGUUAGGUAAUCUUCAGAACUUAGAGGAAUAUAACAUACAAUCAUCAAAUUAAGCUUUUAGACAUAAAUCAAAAGCACAAAUGGUCCCCAAACUCAGUCCCAAAAACUGUCCAACAUAGUUCUUUAUAAAUAUUUUAUUUUGUGAGUUUUGGUUACACUUGGAUGAUGUUAAGGCUUCAUAUCUCUAAUUACAAUCAUUAGAACUCAUUUACAUAAUCAAUUACAAGCCAAAAUAAACAUCGUAAACUAACUAGUUUACUAACAAAACUAACUAAACUUCUAAAAUUUAAACUUUAACUAACAAACUAAAUAUAAUAUUUAAAAUAAUAACAUUACCAAAAAUUAAAUAAGAAACAUACCCGAAAAUACGAGUUUCACAAACUGAAUACGCACUUCCACGCCAAAAUUUAACUAAGGAGAUCUUUAUAAAAAGUCAUCCCACAACAAAGCUUUUCUCAAAAAUUUGAGGCCUUAUUAUUGGUGAAUGAAACAAAGGAUCAAGCCCUUCUAUUUAUAGGUUUAGCAAAGGGUAAAGUUCUCAAUUUAGUUGUUGUGGGACUUGAUUUAUACUAAUUCUAAUUUGUUUAUACUAAUUUUUCCUAUUUUCAACAUGCGAAGUGUAUUCAUUUAUCACGAAUUCGUUUCUUAACCAAUUUGAUCCGUUCAAGUUGAGUUGUUUUCGUUUUAUAGAGGAGAACAACAAUCAUCCAUCAAUUUAAAGUUUUCAUCAUGAAUUCAUCAUCAACUUUAGUCCCAAAGUACACAAAAAUACACAUUACAAUCAAAACUCAAACUCCUUUUCUUUAGUAUAAAUACAUGAAUUUGAUUUAUGAAAAUUUGUUUCUAGAUGACCAUUAUCAAAUUAUAAAUAUCUAAUAACAUAUAAAACAUCGUAACCCACAAAUUCAUUAACCAAAACUCCAAUUUUAAAAGAAACUCAAUAACACAUAAACUAGAAAUAUAAACUAGAUUAUGUACCUUUAAUUCCUUAAGAAAUAAAAUUAACCUUAUCAGUAAAAUUAUAAUUUCUAUUCAACCAUUAUAAUCAUAACAUUAUUUAAUAAAUUCUCACUCCUCUAAUUUAAUUAUUUAAUUAAAUUAGAAUAUCACAAUUAUACUCGCAUAAUAAAAUACGUAUAAAUCACAUCUAUUUAAUCACACUUAAAUAAAUUAUCGAAUAACAAUUUUCAUCAAAUAUUUAUUUAAUUCCAUAAAUAUUCAUUUUAUUCCAUAAAGUUUCCAACUAAAAUAUUUAAUGUACUUAAUAAAUAUUUUACUUGCAUUAUACUAACAUUUACAUUUUUAUGCAAUAUAUUACCUUCUCAAUUUAUUAAAUCAAUUAUACUUGUAUUAAUUCACUAUUUUAAUUAAGUGAAUUAUUCACGCUAUUUAUGAAACUUAACUCAUAAUAAUUUCUAUUGCCCACAAGGCAUAAUAAUUAAAAUUAUAUUAUCUAAUAACAUAAUUUCAACUUAAUUAAAUAAACUAAUAUUAUUUAAUUUCUUUAAUAGUUUAAUUAACUAUUAAAUCUCACAUUCUCCAACAUAUGAAUAUAUAAUUCUCUUCACACCAUAUCACAUAAUUCAAAAUAUAUACACCUCAUAAUAAGAAUUUUAAUUCUUAAAUUCUUAUUUUAAUAACUUAUAAAAAUUCGGGUUGUCACAUCCUUCCCUCCUUAUAAGGAUUCCGUCCUCGGAAUCAAAGAAACCUCCCUUACUCGGUUUUCACCAAAUCUCUUUUCAAAAUUUACUCGGGAUAUUACAGAAUCACAAUUAUGACAACCAGGCUGUUCCCAGGAAAGAGGGGGCUUUCCGAUAAGGAUUUCUCCUUACUGGCGCGCAAUUAGGUGACCAAACAUCUCCUUAGACAGAACUUCCUUAGCCAUUGCCAAUAAUACUAUCUAAUAAUAUUAUUCAAAUAAUAUGAAUUAUUGAUCUGAUAAUGGAAAAUACUGUGCAGUGACAAUUAUUAAAACAACAAUAAUAUAAAAUAUCAACGCAACAAUUAUUGAACCAAUAAAAUAAAAUAUUGAACAGUAAUUAAUGUAACAAUUAUUGAGUAGUGCCUUCUUACGUAAGAAUCAAUAAUUCAAAAAUACUGUGCAAUACCGUGUGCUACUGUGUAACCACGCGUUUUACUGUAUUUUAACCACCGGGUAUUCCAACAGUAUUAACGGUAACAAUUACGUCGUUAUUUAUAAAAACUCAAACUUGUCAUUUUCUUCAUCCGACCAUUUUCCGUUAUGGGGCCCACAAAUGGCUGCGCCGUCGUACGAAUAUUCUCCGACAGCAAGAAUAUUCCACGACCAAACGAAUAUUCCCCGACAAAAUGAAUAUUUUAUAACCACUUGCUUAUUUUGCAAAAUUUGCACAUUUCACCCAUAAUCAAAAUAUUAUAUCAAAUUAACACCUUAUUAUUCACAAUAGUAAUUAGAGGAAAUUCGAUUUUAUUUAUAAAAAGUUGGGGUCUUACAACCUUCCCUCGUUAUGAAAUUUCAUCCUAGAAAUUGACGUGCGUACCUGGUGUUUCAAAAAGGUGAGGAUACCUCGCUUUCAUUUCAGAUUCUAACUCCCGGGUCAUUUCUUCAAUAGCAUGGUUUCUCUAUAAAACCUUAACCUGUGGUAUAACCUUUGUGCGUAGGACAUGCUCUUUCCUAUCCAAGAUCUUGACAGGUACCUCCUCGUACGUUAAAUCUUCGGCUAUUUCAUCUGGUUCUAACGCAAUAAUGUGGUUCGGGUCUUUCACAUAUUUACAUAGCAUGAAUAUGUGAAUCACGUUAUGAACACGAGACAUACUUGGUGGUCAAACGAGUCUAUAGGCCACAAUUCCUACUCGAUCGAGGAUUUCAAAUGGACUAAUAAAUCGAAGGUUUGAGCUUUCCUCACAUCGCCAAUUCUCAUUUUUGGAAUAACGACUUCUUGCAUCUUCUUUUUUAUAUUCAUCAGCUCCAGGUUUGUAGCUUGAGCGUUGUAAAUUUAUAGAUUAAAGUCGGUUCUACUCGUAUAUUUGACAUCAUCAUGUGGUCCCUAGAGUCUUUAACUCUAUCUUUAUCAUUUGUAAAUUAUACAAAAUAGGUCUUUGUGUUCGACAAUAUCGCACUCGUACUCGCAUAUGAUCUUUUACUCAACGCGUCAGCUACCACGUUCGCUUUUCCAGGAUGGUAUGGUCAGAACAGGUGCCGAAAUGAGUCUCCUCUUGAGUUCUUAGAAGCUCUUCUCACAUUCCUUGCUCUAUUCAAAUUUGUAUCUUUUUGAGUCAGCUGAGUUAAUGGAGUAGUGAUUUGAGAAAAUCCUUUCACGAAUCUCCGAUAGUAACUAGCUAAGCCUAGAAAGCUAGAUAUUUCGAUUACUGACUUAGCUUGCUCUCAACUGUGACUCAUAUCCCAAUCUUGGAUAACACGUCACAAUGACGCCUAUUAUUUUACCACUGCACGAAUAUGACGUCCCCUAUGGAGAGUCUGGCUUCGGUGCAUUCCACAAAGGAAGUCACCAGAUAGAGGCUCGUGUACCAACUUCUAUAGUUGGGUUUUUAACUCCUAAAGUUCAAUAGGAGCCAUUUGAUAUGGAUUUUUGAAAAUGGGUUUUGUAUCGGGUUCAAAGUCGAUACAAAAUUCAAUAUCACACUCUGGGAGUAGGCCAGAAAGUUCUUCAGAAAAUACAUUAGGAGAUUUACUAACAACAUAAAUAUUAUUCAAAUCUGACGUAUUUUUUUGUUCAAGUCCAUAACAUGGGCUAAGAAAGCUUGACAUCCGUUUUUCAAUAAACGAAUGGCUUUAUGGCUUGAUAUGACAAUGAUUGAUUUUAGUGGUUUAGUUGCUUGAAUUCGAAUAACAGGUUGGUUAGGAAUAUGAAAACUAACAACCUUACGAAAACAAUCAAUUUUGGCAUGAUGAGUGGUUAACCAAUCAAUCCCUAAAAUCACAUCAAAUGCAAGUAUCUUUAAAGAGAUAAGAUCAACAGGUAAUGUGAUGGUACCAAUUUGAAUCAAGCAAAAUUUAUAAACAGUGGAUGUAACGAAAGUUUCUCCUAACGGAGUUUCCACAGAUAAGUCAAAGUCCAAUUUCUCCGGAGUCAAGUUUAAACGUUGAGCACAAGCAGGAGAGAUAAAAGAAUGGGUAGAACCGGUAUCUAAUAAGGUAUAGACGUCGCAAGAAUUUAUAAUUAACUAACCCGUGAUACCUUCGUUCGGGUUCCUCGCAUUUUGGGCAGUCACGACAAACGCUCUUCCAGAAACCGCCGACUUUGUUUUGUCCGUAUCCGCCUUUGGUGCCACCAUCCUAGCUGGACUUGAUUUCGCUAUAGGACAAAAUCGAGCUAUGUGACCUUCUUUUCCACAACUAAAACAUGCCUUGGAAGGAUAUGAACAGUUUGGACUUAUAUGUCCCUCCUCUCCGCAUCUGUAGCAUCUAACUGGCGGUCGUUCUCCUCCCCUAGAAUUUGUUGUUGGUGCAGGUGCUGCUGCCGACGUCUUCCCGUAAUCGUUAAAUCUUCUCUUCUUGAAAUUUCCACUUGAAUUAUUUCUUCUAUUAUCUUGGCCAUGAUUACCACCGAAGUGGUUACCAUUUCUGGCAUGAUAAUAUCCUCCACGAUGGUUAUCAUUGUUCCGAUGACCGUUGCCACCGGUACGAUUAUCAUCGAGUUGUUGGUCGUUAUUCUUCGGUUGAGCUGACUCAUUAUCGCGCUCCAAUAACUGAGCCCUAUUCAAAACAUCUAAAUAUAAACAAAUUUUGUGAGAAAUGAGGUAUUGACGUAUUUCGGGUUUCAAACCUCGCAGAAACAUUCGCGUCAUUCUCUUUUCAUUAUCAACCAAAUGGGAUGCAAAUCGGGACAACUCGGCAAACUUAGCUUCGUACUGUGACACGUUCAUAUUUUUUUCCUCCAGCUUGAUGAACUUUACCUCCUUCAUGUGACGAAUACUUUCAGGAAAGUACUUGUCAUUGAACAGUUUUUGAAAUGUUUCCCAAGACAUAUUGAGUUCGGCAGGCUGGGCACGCUUCACAGAUUCCCACCAUUAAUCUGCCUCACCACGGAACAUAAAGGUGGCGAAUGGAACCUUCUGUUCCUUCGUACAUCCCAAGACAUCAAAUAUCUUGAUAAUUUGCUUAACCCACGUUUCUGCCUUGAUCGGAUCCGGCUUUCCCUAGUAUUCUGGUGGUCCCAACUCUUUGAACUGCUUGGCUGUGACAAACCGCGCGUUGUUAUCAUUUCCACCCGUAUUUUAUACACGAGUCUCCCUCGUCUGAUUUUGCAUGAACUGCAAAAAGCUUCUAAACAUCCUAUCAUUUAUCGUUUGUUCGGUAGUAUUGUUUACAGGAGGGAUAUUGCCUUCCUGUUGCACGUUCUCCUGAUUGGUGACUAAAGGUGUUUCCACAGUCUCAUACACUCCAUUAUUAAUGUUCUCAGCUGCCAUUUUUAAAUACUACCAUAAAACAAGGGUUAAUUAAACAAAUUAACAUAUCACAUAAUAUCCCUAUAUUAUGACCGGCUAAUAAAUAAGCUUACGUAGGAUACACUAGCAAAGGAUUUACUUAUCUCUCCCCUCCUAGUUCUAUUCGUCGAUCUCCGCCAGAGACCAUAUCCCUAAGCUCUGAUACCAACUGUGACGCCCCCAAAAUAGGUAUACAUCACCCAUUUUGAGUGGCCAAAUACAUGGUACAGAAACAACUACAACUUAUUAAUAUAAUUAUCGUGCAAAAUACGACAACACAAAUACUGUGAGUUUAAAUACAAAUAUAGUCCUCUAGACACACUCAAAUAAGCCCUCAUUACAAUUAUUGAUACACUAUUUUACAAAAAUAGUGAGGACUGCUAAAACAACUUUCUAGAACCAUUACUCCAUACCCCGGCUAGAUCCUGUUAUAUUCUCACCUCCUGAGAAGAAAAAUGGAACAACAAGGAAAAGGGUGAGCUCAACUAGCCCAGUAAAGAAUAUUAUGACUAAGAUAAAGAACAACAAUUUAUCGUUAGCCUUCAACAAAUCAGAUAAAAUAUAAUGGACAACCAGUUUUAGAUCAAUAUUCGCAGCGGAAAUAACAAUUCAUUAGAAGAGUUAAGUAGAGAAUGAAAUCUACUAUCAUCUAUGAAUUUAAAAGUCCAUCAUCAAUAUUUUUUCCCUGUAACAUCAAUCAAUAUACAUCUUGCAUCAAAUAUUCAUCUUUGCACUAUGGGCCAAAGAUAUUAAUUUGUGUCACUAGUUGGUCAUGUUCAUCUCAACACCUGUUCAUCUUUGCAGUACGGGCCAAAGAUAUUCAUCAGGUAAUCAUUCAUCUUUGCACUACAGGCCAAAGAUAUUCAUCAAGUAUCACCAUUAAAGACUGAGGAUGAUGAAAAACAUUUUAGAGAACGAAUCCAGUGAGAUAAAAGGACAAAGAUUAGAGAUUCGUAAUUUAGAUAAUUCAAGUUUAAAAAUACCCCCUAAUAAACCAUAAUGGAGUAAAAUUCAAGAAUGAAGAUCAAAACAUGGAUACAAUCAAACAUAGUAACCAUAAUAGACAUCUGGGAUAAAGAAGAUAAAAUUUAUUUUUCGGUGAAUAGUAUCGUAUUUAUGAAUAGUGUCGUAUACGUGAAUAGUAACCUCGACACAAAAAGGUAGAAAUUUCACAAUAAAAUUCAUACCAAUAUUUCAGCAUAAUGAUAUUAAAAGAAAUAAUAUCAUUUACAAAAAAAAUAACACCCCUUACCUAAAAAAAAUAGUACUUCUGACUGGAAUAUCGGAUGUAAAGCCGAAGGAAACUUAUACUGAAUAGCAAUUCUCAAAGUAUCUUAAUAAUCACAAAAAUACGCUCGAUAAUAUAGAGAGAGAAAACUUAUGUUUCUGGUGUGAUUUUCAAUUUUAAUUAACCUAAGCAUCUAUUUAUAAGAAAAUGCUAGAACGCCAAAGGAGACUAAAUUAAUAAAAUAUUAUUAAUUUUAUUUUUCUUCUACGCAUGCCUACUUUGAAAACUUAUCAGCCAUCUACCUUUGAACAAAAAUUUUUCUAGCAUAAGUUUUCAAAAAACAAAAGUGGGUCCCACCCAUAAUUUUAAAAAAUAUUUAAUUUUUGAAACAUCAAUAAUUCAUAAUAAAUAGCCCUUUUAUCAGAAAAAUACGAAUUUUAUGUCUAUUCCAUAGGAAAUCAAAUUCUUUACAGCUUUGUAUCUUUAAGUUUUUCCAAAUUCCAAACGAAAAAUGCCCGAAAUCUACAUACGGAUGAUUUUUAAUACCUUCAUUCUGACAAAAUACUGAUAAAACACCUCAGUAUUAAUUCCUUCAUUUAUAAUCACAUAAAAUAAAUUUUUCCCUAUCCUUCAUUUAUAUCCACAUAAAAUAAAUAUUUUUUUUAUCAUAUAAAUUAAUAAUUAAUUAUUCACAAAUAAUAUUACAAAAUCACAAUUAUAAUAACCAGGUUGUUCCCAAGAAAGAGGGGACUUUCCAAUAAGGAUUUCUCCUUAUUGGCGCGCAAUUAGGUGACCAAACCUCUCCUUAAACAGAACUUCCUUAGCCAUUGCCAAUAAUGCUAUCUAAUAAUAUUAUUCAAAUAAUAUGAAUUAUUGAUCUGAUAAUGGGAAAUACUGUGCAGUGACAAUUAUUAAAAUAAUAAUAAUAUAAAAUAUCAACGCAGCAAUUAUUGAACUAAUAAAAUAAAAUAUUAAAUAGUAAUUAUUGUAACAAUUAUUGAGUAGUGCCUUCUUACGUAAGAAUCAAUAAUUCAAAAAUACUUUGCAAUAGUGUGUGCUACUAUGCAACCACGCGUAUUACUGUAUUUUAACCACCGGGUAUUCCAACAGUAUUAACAGUAACAAUUACGUCGUUAUUUAUAACAACUAAAACUUGUCGUUUUCUUCAUCCGACCGUUUUCCAUUAUGGGCCCCACAAAUGGGUGCGCCGUCGUACGAAUAUUCCCUGACAGCAAGAAUAUUCCACGACCAAACGAAUAUUCCCCGAUAAAAUAAAUAUUUUAUAACCACUUGCUUAUUUUGCAAAAUUUGCACAUUUCACCCAUAAUCAAAACAUUAUAUCAAAUUAACACCUUAUUAUUCACAAUAAUAAUUAGAGGAAAUUCGAUUUUAUUUAUAAAAAGUUGGGGUCUUAUAGACCAUCACUCCGUUCCCCGACUAGUCCCAGCUACGUUCUCAUUUCCUGAAGCGAAAAAUGAAAACAAAAGGGUGACCUCAACUAGCCCAGUAAAAAAUAUUAUGACUAAGAUAAUGCAGAAUAAAUUAUCGUUAGCCUUCCACAGUGUUAAACUGAUAAAAUACAAUAAACAUCAAGUUUAACUGCAGCGGAACAAGAAAUCCAUUAGAAGAUUCAAGUAGAGCAUGAUAUCUACUAUCUUCUAUGAUUUUAAAAGUUUAUCAUCAAUUUUAUCGCUGAGACUCAACUUAAUAAUCCACAUCACUGAAUUAUCCCUGCACUACGGACCAAGGAUAUUCAUUAGUAUCACAUCCACGAAUUAUCCAUGCAGUACGGGCCAAGGAUAAUCAUGUUAUCACCAAUGGUCAUGUUAAUGCCCACAACUGUCCAUCAUUGCACUAUGGGCCAAUGAGGACUUUUACACAAUCAUUUGUAACAUUAAAGGUCAUGAUUAUACCGAAUGAUCCCUAGUCAUAAUCAUACCGAUCAACAGUCCAUCUAUGCAUUACGGGCCAAAGAUGACUUUCAUAACAAUAUAAGCAUGAGGAUGAUAACAAUGAUAUACGAAUUCAAUUAAAUGAAAGCAAAUGAUAAUUUUUUUAAGAUUUAUAAUUUAUUUUAUCUAGAAUUUAAAAAUGUCUAAAUUAUCAACAUGAUACUGCUUUGUGGAGUAAAAUUCAAGAAUAAUAUUGUAUCAAAAAUAAUUUGGACCGAAAAGAAAUCAAUUUUUGUCAUGAAUAGUACUCCAGGUGAAUAGUACCCCAUGAAUAGUAAUUCGAGAAUAGUACCCAGUGAAUAGUACUCCGGCAUGAAAAGGUUAAAACUUAUCAAGAAUGCUCAGAAUAAUAUUUCUAUGAAAAGAUACUAGAUGAAGCGCAAAUUUCAAGGAUAUUCUACUAAUUUCAUGGAGUAUAGAAGCCAAAACUUAACAAAUUGAGUGUAGAAUUCAAAAUCUGAAAUGAAAUAAUAUUACUUACAUACUACAGAGUAUGAAAGAAAAUAUUAUUUCAUACGAAUAUUGAACAAAAAUAAUAUCCCUUACCUUAAAAAGGAGAGUAUUCCAACUGGUAUAGCGGGGAUAUUCUUUAAGAAAAACUUUUACUGUUUUCUAUACUCAAAACUUUCUAAAACUCAAAAGAAAUACGCUCAAUAUUAUAGAAGAAUAAUUUUCUAAUUCUAGUGUAAUUUUCAAUUCUAACUAAGCAUCCUAUUUAUAGAAAAAUGGCAUGAUACUAUUUGGAUGCACAGUAAUGAAAAAAAUCAUGGACGCACAGUGCUUGAUCACAAAAAAUUUCUGAUUUUCAAAAUUGUUACUAUGCAAACACUAUGCAGCCACUAUGCAAACACUAUACAUAACAAAAUAUAAUAUAUUCUAUUUUUCAUAAAAAAUAAAACUUAUUAUAAUAUAUAUAUAUAUAUAUCAUAUAUACACUCGUGACCAAUCCAUUCUUGACAUUUUUUCCCCUUGACAUUUCAUUUCACCAACAUAUGGGCCCCACCUGACUCACUCGUGGCCCCCCAUCACUUAUAUAUAUAUAUAUAUAUAUAUAUAUAUAUAUAUAUAUAUAUAUACUGAAUAAAUUUUUACCGAUUAUUUUAAAAAAUGGAUAAAUGGGGGUCCAUAAAAUAAGCAAAAUUUACAUCAAAUACUUCAUAAAAAACCCCAUACAUAUUUUUAACAACAUUUAUUCAUCAUUAUUAUAACUCGUAAUAUUAACAACCAGAUCGUUCCCAAGAAAGAGGGGGCUUUUCGAUAAGGAUUUCUCCUUAUUGGCGCGCAAUUAGGUGACCAAACCCCUUUCCUCGACAGAAUUUUUUAGACAUUAUUAAUUAUGCAAAUAAUAAUAUGAAUAACUUGUCAUCUCAAUUAUUAAUUUAAUAAUAUAAAAUAUUGUGACAAUUUAUGAAUCAAUAACGUGAGAUACUAUGCAGCAAUUACUGUAGAAAUAAUUGAGUAUAACAGAGUGACUUCUCACGUAAGCAUCAAUAAUCAAUAUCGUGUGCUACUAUGCAACCACGCGUAUUACUGUACUUUUAUCACCUGAUAUUUCAAAAGUUAACUGUAAAAUGUUCAUCGUUAUUUUUAUAAAAAGAUAUUUCUGUCGUUUUCUAACUCUGAAAAUAAUUCUAUUAUGGGGUCCACUAAUGAUUGUGUCGUCGUACGAAUAUUUCCUGUUAACACGAAUAUUCCCCGACCAAUCGAAUAUUUUAUAACAACUUGCAUACUUUGCAAAAUUUAUAAAUAUUACCCACAACUAUAACAUUAUAUUAAAUCCACACCAAAAUAUUAAAAAAUAUAUUUCGAGAAAAAUUAAUCUUUAUUCAUGAAAGUUGGGGUCUUACAACCUCUCUUUCUUAUAAAAUUUCGUCCUCAAAAUUGGGGUACGUACCUGAUAUGUCGAAGAGGUGAGGAUACCUUAAUUUCAUUUCUGAUUCUAACUCCCAGGUUAUUUCCUCAACAUCAUGGUUUCUUCACAAAACUUUGACUUGAGGUAUAACCUUGGAGCGUAGAAUAUAUUCCUUCUUAUCCAAGAUUUUAACAGGUACCACUUCAUACAUUAAAUCUUACGCUAUUUCUUAUGGUUCUAACUCAAUAAUGUGGUUCGGGUCUUCCACAUAUUUACGUAACAUGGAUAUGUGAAAAACAUUAUGAACGCGAGAUAGACUUGGCAGUAAGGUGAGUCUAUAGGCCACAGGUCCUACACGAUCAAGGAUUUUGAAUGGGCCAAUGAAUCGAGGAUUGACCUUUUCUCUCUAUCCAAAUCUUGUAACUCCUUUCCAUGGUGCCACACAUAACAACACAUGCUCUCUAAUAUUGAAUUUAACGUCCUUUCGAUGAAGAUCAGCAUAACUCUUUUAUCGAUCUUGUGAGGUUUUUAUACGUUGUCGGAUCAUUUGAAUCUUUUCUGUAGUCAUACGUACCAAUUUCGGUCCCAACAAGGUUGCUUCACCCACCUCAUCCCAGCAUACUGGAGGAUGACACUUGCGUCCAUACAACGCCUUGAAUGGAUCCAUGCCAAUACUUGUUUGAUAACUGUUGUUGUAGGAAAAUUCCACCAAUGGCAACAACUUGUCCCAACUUCUUUUAAAGUCAAGGACACAGAGUCUUAAUAGAUUUGCAAGAGUUUGAAUAGUCCUCUCCGACUGUCCGUCCGUUUGAGGAUGAUAUGCCGAACUAAAUCGUAAAUUCGUGCCUAUAGCUUUUUGCAAACUAACCCAAAAUCGUGAAGUGAAUCUUGGGUCUCGAUCAGAAACUAUGGAUGCUGGCAUACCACGCAGUCUUACAAUCUCAUUUAUGUAUAUAUGAGCAAGACGUUCAAGUGAAUAAGUUUCUCAUAUAGGUAAGAAAUGAGCAGAUUUGGUCAAUCUAUCAUCAAUGACCCAAAUUGCAUCUAUGCCUUGAGAAAUCUUAGGAAGACCAGUAACAAAAUUCAUGGUAAUGUGCUCCCACUUCUAUUCUAGAAUUUUAAGUGGUUGCAAUGGACCUUUUGGCACUUGAUGUUGCGCCUUAACUAGUUAACACAUUAAACACCUUGAGAUAAACUCCGCGAUCUCUCUUUUCAUAUUGCUCCACCAAAAUGUAUGUUGAAGAUCAUGAUACAUUUUGGUACUCCCAGGAUGGAUUGCAAAUGGUGUGUUUUGCACCUCUAUCCUGAUUUUAUACUUUAAAUCAGGAUCGUUAGGAACAUAAAUUCUGGAGUUAACUCUAAGUAUUCCUUCUUCAUCGAUUCUUGCUUCUGAAAUAGCACCUUCUUGCACUUUCUUCUUCAUACGCAUCAGCUCCAGGUCCGUGGCUUGAGCAGCUUUAACUUUAUUGAUUAAAGUCAGUUCUACUCGUAUAUUUGCCAUCAUCACGUGGGUCCUAGGAGUCCUUAUCUCUAUCUCCAUCCUUUUUAAGUCAUACCAAAUGGUCCUUUGCGUUGACAAUAUCGCACUCGUACCCGCAUAUGAUCUUCUACUCAACGCGUCAGCUACCACGUUCGCUUUUCCAGAAUGGUAUUGAAUGGUGUGAUCGUAAUCUUUUAACAGCUCGAGCCAACAUCAAUGUCUCAUGUUGAGUUCCUUUUGGGUGAAGAAAUAUUUGACAUUUUUAUAAUCCGUAUAGAUCUCCACUUUCUCCCCAUACAGGUAAUGCCUCCAGAUCUUUAGUACGAAAAUGAGUGCUGCCAACUCUAAAUCAUGAGUAGGAUAAUUCCUCUUAUAUUCUUUGAGUUGUCGUGAGGCACAAGCUAUGACUUUCCCCUUUUGCAUGAGAACACAUCCUAACCCUCUGCCUGAAGCAUCGCUGUAGAUGACAAAUCCCUCCGAACCAGAUGGUAUUGUCAUAACAGUGCUGAAAUGAGUCUCCUCUUGAGUUCUUGAAAAAUCUUCUCACAUUCCUCGCUCCAACCAAAAUUUGUAUCUUUUCGAGUCAGCUGAGUUAAUGGAGUAGCGAUUCGAGAAAAUACUUCCACGAAUCUCUGAUAAUAACCAGCUAAGCCUAAAAAGCUACGUAUUUCGGUCACUAACUUAGGUUGUUCCCACCUUUAUUUUGCUUCAAUCUUUGUUGGGUCAAUAGAUAUUCCAUGAUAUGAUAUCACGUGCCCAAGGAAUGCUACUUCCUCAAGCCAGAACUCGUAUUUCUUCAACUUGGCAUAUAACUUGUUCUCACGAAGCUUUUGGAGUAUCAGCCUCAAGUGUUGCUCAUGAUCUUCACGACUUUUGGAGUAUAUUAGAAUGUCAUCAAUAAAGACAACCAUAAAAUGAUCCAAAUAUUCCUUGAAUACUCGGUUCAUCAUAUCCAUGAAGGUAGCAAGAGCAUUAGUCAAUCCAAAAGACAUGACUAGGAAUUCAUAAUACUUGUACCGAGUUUUGAAAGCAGUCUUUGGGAUGUCAUCGGUUUUAAUCUUGAAUUGAUGAUAUCUGGAAUGAAUAUCAAUCUUUGAAAAGAAUUUGGCACCUUGCAACUGGUCAAACAGGUCAUCAAUGUGUGGCAACGGGUACCUAUUUUUGAUGGUGGCAUGAUUUAACUCCCGAUAGUCAAUACAAAGUCGCAUACUUCCAUCUUUCUUCUUUACGAAUAGAAUAGGAGCACCCCAAGGAGACGUACUAGGACGAAUGAAAUCGAUGUCUAACAAUUCCUGCAGUUGGGUUUUUAACUCCUGAAGUUCAAUAUCAGCCAUUCGAUAUGGGGCUUUGGAAAUGGGUUUUGUACUAGGUUCAAGGUCAAUACCAAAAUCGAUUUCACGCUCCGUGGGUAGGAUAAGAAGUUCUUCAAGAAAUAUGUCAGGAAAUUUAUUAACAAUAGGAAUAUCAUUCAAAUCUGACGUAUUAUUGUUUAAAUCCGUGAUAUGGGCUAAGAAAGCUUGACAUCCAUUUUUCAAUAAACGAAUAGCUUUAUGGCUUGACACGAUAGUGAUUGACUUUAGUGGUUUGGUUGCUUAAAUUCGCAUAAUAGGUUGGUUAAGAAUAUGAAAGCUAACAACCUUACGAAAAUAAUCAAUUUUAGCAUGAUGAGUAGUUAACCAAUCAAUCCCUAAAAUCACAUCAACUGCAAGUAUUUUCAAAAAGAAAAGAUCUACAGGUAAUGUGAAGGUGCUGAUUUGAAUCAAACAAGAUUUAUAAACAGUGGAUGUAAUGAAGGUUUCUCCCAACGGAUUUUCAACAGAUAAGUCAAAGUCUAAUUUCUCCGGAGUCAAAUUUAAACAUUGAACGCAAGUAGGAGAAAUAAAAGAAUGGGUAGAACUGAUAUCAAAUAAGGUAUACACUUCGCUAGAGUUUAUGAUUAGCUUACCCGUGAUGAUUUCGUUCGGGUUCCUUGCUUUUUGGGAGGUCACGACAAACACUCUCCCUUGAACUACCGGCUUUGACUUCUUUGGGACGGCCUUUGGUGCCUCCAUCCCAACUGGACUUGACUUCACUGCACGACAAAAUCGGGCUAGGUGACCUUCUCUUCCACAAUUAUAACAUGUUUUGGACUGCUGCGUACAGUUUGGACUGAUGUGUCUCUCCCAUCCGUAUUUGUAGCAUACAAUCGGCGGUCAUUCUCCUUCCAUAACAACUGGUGUUGGUGCUGACAUCUUUCCAUUAUUAUUGAAUCUCCUCUUCUUAAAAUUUCCACUCCUAUUGUCUUGGACAUGAUUACCACCGAAGUGGUUACCAUUUCUGGCAUGUUGAUUCCCUCCACGUUUGUUGUCACCGCUUUGAUGACUGCUACCACUGAUAUUAUCAUUUUGUCGGCUGCUCUCUCAUGGUUGGGUUGACUCAUUAUCGCGUUCCAAUAACUGAGCCCUAUUAACAAUAUCUAAAUACAAACACAAUUUGUGAGAAAUAAAGUAUUGACGUAUUUCGGGUUUCAAACCUCGCAGAAACAUUCGCGUCAUUCUCUCCUCAUUAUCAACCAAAUGGGAUGCAAACCGGGACAACUCGAAAAACUUAGCCUCGUACUGCGACACAUUCAUAUUAUUUUGCUCCAGCUUGAUGAACUCAACUCUUUCAUGUGAUGAAUACUUUCGGGAAAGUACUUGUCGUUGAAUAGUUCUUGAAACUUCUCCCAAUACAUCUUUAGUGCGGCAGGUUGAGUAUGCUUUACCGAUUCCCACCAGUAAUCUGCCUCUUCUUUCAAUAUAAAGGUGGCAAAGGGAGCUUUUUGCUCCUCGAAGCAUCCCAAGACAUCAAAUAUCUUGGUGAUCUGCUUUCUCCACGUCUCUGCCUUAAGUGGUUCUGGCUUUCCCAAAAACUCCGGUGGUCCUAGCUCCUUGAACUGCUUAGCGUGACCGUUCGAGAGUUUUCAGUGUUUCCACCUGCAUUUUGAACGGGAGUCUCUCUUUUCUGAUGUUGCACGAAUUGCAAAAAGCUCCUAAACAUUUCGUCGUUCAUCAUUUGGUCGGUGUUGUUGUGUACAUGAUGAUUAUUUCCUUCCUGAUGCACAUUAUCCUAGUUAUUGAUCAUUGGUGACUCAAUGGUCUCAUGUGCUCCAUUGCUUAUCUCAACAUUCUCGGAUGUCAUUUUUAAACACUACCAUAAAACAAGGGUUAAUUGAAAUGCCACAUAUUAUCCCUAUAUUCUGGCCGACCAAUUAAAUAACAAAUAAGCUUAGGUAGGUCAUACUAGCGAAGGAUUCCCCAUCUCUCCCCCUAGUUCUAGCCUCACAUCUCAGCCAGGGAUCAUAUUCCUAAGCUUUGAUACCAACUGUGACGCCCCCAAAAUAGGUAUACAUCACCCAUUCUGAGUCUCCAAAUACAUGGUACAAAAUUUAAAUACAAAUUAAUUAUACAACUGACAUGUAAAAUACGACAAAAUAUAGCUGAGAGUUUUGACACGAAUAUUGUCUUCUAGAAAAUAUCCAAACUCAAAUGGAGUCCUCAUUACAGUUAUUAUAACACUAUUUUAUAAAAUAGUGAGGACUACUAUAGAAACCAUCUCGGACCAUCACUCUAUUCCCCGACUAGUCCUGGCUACGUUCUCAUUUCCUGAAGAGAACAAUGAAAGCAAAAGGGUGAGCUCAACUAGCCCAAUAAGAAAGAUUAUGACUAAGAUAAUGCAAAAUAAAUUAUCGUUAGCUUUCAAUAGUGUUAAACAAAUAAAAUACAAUAAACAUCAAGUUUAACUGCAAUAGAAUAAGCAAUCCAUUAGAAGAGUCAAGUAGAGCAUGAUAUCUACUAUUUUAUAUGAUUUUAAAAGUUUAUCAUCAAUUCUAUCGCUAAGACUCAGCUUAAUAAUCCACAUCACUGAAUUAUCCUUGCACUACGGGCCAAGGAUAAUCAUUAAUAUAACAUCCACGAAUUAUCCAUACACUACGGGUCAAGGAUAAUCGUGUUAUCACCAAUGGUCAUGAUCAUGCCAUCAACUGUCCAUCAAUGCACUACGGGCCAAUGAGGACUUUUACCACAUCAUUUGUAACAUUACAGAUCAUGAUUAUACCGAAUGAUCCCUGGUCAUAAUCAUAAAGAUCAACAGUCCAUCUAUGUAUUACAGGCCAAAGAUGACUUUCAUAACAAUAUAAGCAUGAGAAUGAUGACAAUGAUAUACGAAUUCAAUUAAAUGAGAGCAAAUGAUAAAUUUUUAAAGAUUUAUAAUUUAAUUUAUCCAGAAUUCAAAAACGUCCAAAUUGUCAACAUGAUACUGCUUUGUGAAGUAAAAUUCAAGAAUAAUAUUAUAUCAAAAAUGAUUUAGACCGAAAAGAAAUCAAUUUUUGUCAUGAAUAGUACUCCGGGUGAAUAGUACAUAAGUGAAUAGUACCCUAUGAAUAGUAAUUUGGGAAUAGUAUCCCGUGAAUAAUAGUCUAGUAUGAAGCGCAAAUUUAUCAAAAAUGCUCAGAAUAAUAUGCGCAAAUUUCAAGGAUAUUCUACUAAUUUCAUGGAGUAUAGAAGCCAAAACUUAACAAAAUGAGUAUAGAAUUCGGAAUCUGAAACAAAAUAAUAUUACUUACAUACUACAGAGUAUGAAAGAAAAUAUUAUUUCAUACGAAUAUUGAACAAAAAUAAUAUCCCUUAUCUUAAAAAAGAGAGUAUUCCAACUAGUAUAGCGGGGAUAUUCUUGAAGAAAACUUUCACUGUUUUCUAUACUCAAAGCUUCCUAAAACUUGAAAGAAAUACGCUUAAUAUUAUAGAAGAAUAAUUUUCUGAUUCUGGUGUGAUUUUCAAUUCUAACUAAGCAUCAUAUUUAUAGGAGAAUGGCAGGAUAUUAUUUGGAUGCACAGUAAUGAAAAAAAAUCACGGACACACAGUGCUUGAUCACGAAAAUUUUUUGAUUUUCAAAAUUGUUACUAUGCAAAUACUAUGCAGCCACUAUGUAAAUAUUAUGCAUAAUAAAAUAUAAUAUACUCUAUUUUUCAUAAAAAAUUAAACUUAUUAUCAUAUAUAUAUAUAUAUCAUAUAUACUCCCAUGACCAUUCCAUUCAUCAAAUACUUCAUAAAAAACCCCUCAAUAUUUUUAACAACAUUUAUUCAUCAUUAUUAUAACUCGCAAUAUUAAUAACCAGAUCUUUCCUAGGUAAGAGGGGGCUUUUCGAUAAGGAUUUCUCCCUAUUGGCGCACAAUUAGGUGACCAAACCCCUUUCCUCGACAGAACUUUCUAGACAUUGUUAAUUAUGCAAAUAAUAAUAUGAAUAACUUGUCAUCUCAAUUAUUGAUUUAAUAAUAUAAAAUAUUGUGGCAAUAAUUGAAUCAAUAACGUGAGAUACUAUGCAACAAUUACUGUAGCAAUAAUUGAGUAUAACUGAGUGACUUCUCACGUAAGCAUCAAUAAUCAAUACCGUGUGCUACUAUACAACCACGUGUAUUACUGUACAUUUAUCACUGGGUAUUUCAACAGUUAACGGUAAAACUUUCGCCAUUAUUUUUAUAAAAAUUUAUUUCUGUCGUUUUCCAACUCCGACAAUAAUUCCGUUGUGGGGUCCACCAAUGAUUGUGUUGUCAUACGAAUAUUUCCUGUUAAAAUGAAUAUUCCCCGAUCAAUCAAAUAUUUUAUAACAACUUGCAUACUUUGCAAAAUUUAUAAAUAUUACCCACAAAUAUAACAUUAUAUCAAAUCCACACCAAAAUAUUAAAAAAUAUAUUUCGAGAAAAAUUAAUCUUUAUUCAUGAAAGUUAGGGUCGUACAACUGAUCUUCAUUCUCUCUCUAACAGCGACAACUCCUCCUUCCUACCUCACUCUCUGGCCCGACAUCUCCUCCCUCCUCCCUACUUCGCUCCCUCGCCCCUCCAUAAAACGUUAUAACUCCCUCUCUCCUCUCUUCUGUCGAACGGCGGUAGUGGGAAUCGACGGUCAACUGUGGAUUUACAGCGGUGUUGGGAAUCGGCAGCAACGUCGUGGGUAUUUCCUCUCUUUUGUCUCUAGCAUUUUGAUCAAGUGAUGUAAAUUUCUAAAUUCAACUCAGUUGUGUUAGGGUUAGGGUUUAUAUGUUAGUAUAUUAAGCAACUGAUUUUGGGCUUCAUUUAGUGUUUAAUUUAUAUUGUUAUAUAUGAAACUGAUGAACUUGGCUGAAUUGUAGUUCAAUUUGGGUUUAAUAUAUAAUUUAGGGUUUAUUUUGUUAUUAAUCGUUGAGAUAUUGAGGCUGAUUAUAAUAUUGUUCAAAUUGGGUUUGGAAUGCUGCAAUUUGGGUUUGAUUUGCUACAAUUUGGGUUUGAUAAUUAUACUGCAAUAUCGGGUUUGAUGAUAUGUUGCAAUUUGGGUUUGAUAAAAUUUGGAUUAAGUUUAGGUAUAACUCAGCAUGUUCAGUUUUGUUGUAGGUAUAUUUGUUAUUUCUGACGAAAUUCUCGACAGAAUUUUUGUCAGAAUUUAUCAAUUACAAAAUUUGGAGGCACUAUAUAUGUUUAUAUAUUUCUUAUGUUUCCCAAUAUUAAAAUAAACAAAGUAGAAUUUACUUAGUUUCUUAAUUAGUACUAAAAUAAUUUAAUAGAUAUAAAAUAAUUUAAUAAAAAUAAAAUAAUUUAAUAAAAUUAAAAUAUAUAUUAUAAUGUAAUACAAAAUAAAAUAAAUAAUUUAAUUUAUAAUUUAAUAUAUUAUAUCUAAUAAAUAAAUAUAAUAAAAUUAAUAAUAAAAUAGUAUAAAUUAAAUAAUUUAAUUUAAUAUAAUUAAAUUUUAAUUAAUUAAUUUUAAUUAAUUUAAAUAAUUAAUAUAAUAUAAUAAAAAAUAAAAUAAAAUAAAAUAAAAUAAAUCUAAAUAAAUUAAUUAAUGUAAUUUAAUUUAACUAAAUUAAAUUAAUUUAAAGUUAAUAAAUAAAAUAAAUUAAAAUAUUAUAAUAAAAAAUAAAUUAAAAUUAAAUAAAUUAAAACACAUAAAUAAAUCAAAAUAAAUUAAUUAAUUAAAUUUAAAAUAAAUAAAAUAAAUAAAUAAUAUAAAUUAAAAUUUAAUAUAAUUAAAUUUAAAUUAAUUAAUUUAAAUAAUAUACUAUAAUAAAAAAAUAAAAUAAAAUAAUUAUUUUCAACUAAGUAGCAUUUGCUUAGUUUUCCAUUACAUAAAAAAUAUCCUGAAUUAAAUAAAAUCAAAGCUAAUAAAUUAAAUAAACAUAAAUUAAAGUAACAUAAUAUAUUUGAAAUAAAUUAACAUUAAAUAAAAUAAUAAACUGAGUAAAAUUUGCUUAGUUUUCUACAAUUAAAGGUAAUUGAAUAAGUUUUCUACAUAUUCAGUAAAUAAAACAAAAUACAAUAAACUUAGUAGAAUUUAUCCAGGUUUCCAUUGGUAAAAUAAACUAAGUAGCAUUUGCUUAGUUUGCCACAAUUUUCAAUAAACUCAAUAAUGUCAUGUGUUAAAUCUUCAAUACACUCAAUUGACAAUCAAUUACGAUUAUACACUUUAUAGUACAUAUAUCAUUCCAUUAACCUGUAAAUAUUUACUAUAGGUAGGAGCUUAGAAACCCGUUUGACAUUCACUCAUUAGGAGUGAAUGUCGAAUAGUCCUCAGUUUGGGACUGUUACUGGAUGUUAUGUCUCUCACUUAGGUCGGUGCCAAUUCUCAAGGUGCGUUUUCAAAUUUUAUGAACAAAGCAAUAGAACAUGUUGAUGAUCCAAACAGAAAGAUUAGAUGCCCGUGUUUCAAGUGUAAGAACAUGAUUUGGAAGACUGUCGAUGAAGUUAAAUUUGACUUAUAUUCACAUGGGUUUGUGGAUGGGUAUUCGGUAUGGAUUCAUCACGGGGAAUCAGCUGAGUUUAGAGAACAGACAGAUAGUACUGUAGACCAAUUGGUUCACGGGGAUUCACAAUCAAAUAACUAUGAUGUCAUGCAGAUGUUGGUUGAUGCAUAUGACCUUACCAAUAUUGACUAUUUAGCAGCUGUUUUCUAUAAGUUGCUAUUUGAAUCGGGUGUCCCAUUGUAUCCUGGAAAUGACAAGCACACCAGGCUUUCUACAGUUGCGAAGCUUUUAUAUUUCAAGAAUGAGCAUGACUGAAGUGAGAGAGGAUUCAAUGAUUGGCUUGAUAUUCUCAGCAAGUUCUUACCUAGGAAUAAUACUCUACCCGCGAAUUACUAUGAAGUGAAGAAAAUGGUUAAGGGGUUGAAUCUCGGGUAUGAGAAGAUUGAUGCUUGUGAGCAAGAUUGCAUGUUAUACUAUGGGAAGGACAAAGAUAAGGUGCAGUGUGAUAUCUACAACUCGCCUAGGUAUAAGAUCACAAAACGUGGGGGAAGGAGAAACAUGUUCCAAAGAAGAUUUUAUGAUACUUUCCUCUUGCCUCGAGGUUGCAACAACUAUUCAUAUUUGCACACACUGCUCAGCAUAUGAGUUGGCAUAAAACAAGGGAUGUUGUGCCUGGUCAGCUGACUCACCCAACAGAUGGAGAUGAAUGGAAGAAUUCUGAUGUUAAUUUUCCAUAAUUUUUCGACGAACUUAGGAAUGUCAGGCUUGGCAUGGCUACAGAUGGCUUCUGUUUAUUUAAUAAUAUUAGUCAGCCUUACUCUGUUUGGCCAGUAAUUAUUGUAGCUUACAAUCUUCCACAGUCAAUGUGCAUGAGGGAUCCGUAUCUUUUCUUGAACUUACUUAUACCAGGGGAUAAGAGUCCUAUAAAAGACAUUAACGUGUACCUUAGGCUAUUAGUCGAUGAACUUAAGAUGUUGUGGGAAACAGGUGUUUAAACUUUUGAUAAAUCUGUCAGGCAUAAUUUUGCGAUGAAGGCAGCCUUGUUGUGGACUAUCACUGACUUUCUGGCACUAGUUAUGAUUAGUGGAUGGUCGACUCAUGGUAAGUUGUCAUGUCCAGUCUGUAUGGGGGAUGUGCAAGGCACUCAACUACGUCAUGGCCGGAAAACUAGUUUCUUUGGAACUGCUCCUAGAUUCUUGCCUGCUGAGCAUAAUUAUAGAAAGAUGUCUACAUAGUUCAACAGAAAGACAGAGAAGAAGGGGGUUGUUGGUCGCUUGUCAGGAAGAGACCUAUUGGACUGGCUAAAUGAUCUAAAAUUUCCACCGCCUGGGAAGGAGCAUGGUAAGUUGAGAGCAAUAGGAUAUGGGAAAAGUCAUAAUUGGACACACUCGCCAAUUUGGUUUGGGUUGCCAUACUGGGUUACACUAGCACUUCAUCAUUUUAUAGAUGUUAUGCAUAAGGAAAAGAAUGUAUUAGAGAACUUGUUUUACACCAUACUGGGUACGAGAUGUAAAACAAAAGACAAUGAUAAAACACGUAAAGACUUGGAGGAAAUGAAUAUCAGGCGGGAAUUAUGGCUCCGACCUAACAACUCAAAACCAAAAGCUCCAUUUUGUCUUAUCAAGCAACAGGUUGAAAACACUUGCAAUUGGCUUAGUGCAUUGAAGAUUCCAGAUGGAUAUGCUUUUAACAUAUCUCGUUGUACUAAGGUUGAGCAGUUGAAAAUUAUUGGGUUCAAAAGUCAUGAUUGUCAUGUAUUCAUGCAGAAGUUGAUGCCAAUUCCAUUUCCACUUCAACAAAAAGGGUUAUUUCCGACGGACUAUUCCGUCGAAAUUAAAUAUAAUUCGUCGAGAUUAUGAUUACUUCUGACGAAAUAUUCGGUCGGCAAUUUAGUCGGAUAUAAGAACAUUGAAAUUAAGUCUGUUGAUCUUUAAGUUGGAGAUAUCUAUCCUCGACUGACCUAACCUCGACAGAAUAUUCGGUCGACAUUAAGAUAUUCUCGACUGAAUUAUAUCUGUCGAUAAUAUUAUGUCAAGUCUAAACCUGCCACGUGGCAUCCCAUAAAAAAUAGAAGGGGCUUAAUAUCGAUGGAAUUUCAUCGAGGAUAGUGUUAUUCCGUCGAGGUUUUGCCUUUUUUUAAUAUUUAUACUGUUUUAGCAAUAUCAAGGGUAAUAAAUCACAUUUUUUGUACCUGUAAACCUGCUUUUUCCCAACAACACACAUAAAACAUAACUAUAAUCCAAGGCCAAUAAUAGUAAUAUUUCCAUGGCCAACAUGAAUAUGAAUUACUAAGGCCAACAUGAAUAUGACAUUAAACUAAAGUUCUAAUCAACUAAAGUACAUCAAAUAUGCAUUUAAACUAACGUAAAUAUGUUAAACUAAAGUAAUGAUAAUUAAAAGCUACAAUACCUCAAAAAUCAAAAAAACUAUAUAAAUUUACAUCACAUUAAGCUAAAAAGUAAGUAAAUAUGUACAAAUCAUCUACAAAACUAAGUCACGGGUCGUCGUCGUCCAACCGCUUAGCAUCGUCAGCCCUCUUGUCACCUUUUGAUACAAUAUAAUGUAACUCAUUAGUCCAUAUAUAUAAUAUAGUUAAAGAUAACUAAUUAAAUGAAAAUUACAUAACAUGAAGAAUAUAUACUUGAAUUUAAAAUGAAUAGUAUACCUGAGUAGUCGAGGGCUGACUCAACAUCGACCUAAACACAUCCAUAAGUAAGGUAACCACCAUCCGAACAAUCUCGUCGCGUAUCGCGGUGAACUGCUCUGGAAGGAUACUCGUACUAUCGGCGGUGGCACCAGCUGCAAAGUCCUGCGCAAGAUGAUUGAGGAAAUAAUAGUUGGGCAGGUCCCAAUGACGGAAUAGCGGAUCUAUCUCAAGCCUCUCCGACACCACAGCCACAACCUGCUGGAAAAAAGCAUCGUCUAAGCCAGCGCCCGUAUGUGAUGGUCCCACGGGGGCUCUCGGACGCAGACGAUGACUAGAGCCUACAAAAAUAAAUAAAACAUGAAUAAUAUUAUAAUUAAGUUUACUUUAUUCAUAAAAAAGAAAUAAACUAAAAUAUUAUACCUCCAGACAGUGUAUAAGCUGGUAUCCUCCAACUCCAGCACUCGAUACCGGCCGGUAGUGCUAGUGGGAGUAUCCUGAGAUGCGACCCAAAGAGCCGUCUCCUCAUCCUGAGAUAAACUAAUCUCGGGCGGAGGGAUGGUGGAAUCAGUCGUCUCAGCAUCUCCCCUAGCAGCCUGGAACUCUGCUAUACGCUGGCUGCGGAGCAUCUCAAAUCGGUCCUAUAAUUUAAUAUAUGUACAUGUGAGCCAACUUUGUAUCAUCCUAUAAAUUACGUAAUAUGUUCCUAAAUUAUAGAGAUUAUAGUAAAUGUAUUACCCGUAUAACUAGUUCUGCUGAAGACAUCGUCGACCCCGAAGUAGAAUCCUUCGGCAUAUGGACUAUAUCCCAAAAAUCCAUCAUAGUAGGAGGUUGGCCCAAGCUACUCUGCAUGGCCUAAAUCAUGUACAUUAAUUAAUAUUACCUUACUUUAGUACUAUAGUUUUAAUGUAAUAUUAAACUAAACUAAAUAUGAAUACAUACCGACUUGACCUCCUGAAACGACUACGAGCCAGAAGUACGUACAACCUGUAGCUGGCCUCAAUUCUUCUUCAUCUACUAGGACUUGGUCUUGAAGGCAGCAUCAUCCUAAUACGUACACAUGGCAGCCCAUGCUGCAUCUGAUACUGUCGGCGGAUGAUGCUGUCGUAUAGUAGUCCCGGGCGAUUCUUCUACUACCCAGACUACCCUCUCUCGCAUCUUGUACAGCCAGCCGGUAUAGUUCUUCGAGAUGUGUGCAAUAAUAACAGCGUCACCAUCCGCCUCAGUGAUGUCAGCCUCGUAUCUAUAAUAUCUCUAUCAAACGAACAUAACGUACGCAUAAUUAAUUAUUUGAGCAAUAUAUAAAUAACUUAAACCUUGAUUUAAUAUAUGUAAUUUAACUUACGUGAAACUCUCGCAACACUAUCACCAUAAAGCCGGCAUCGUAACGCGAGUACUGGCUAAAUCGCAUGCAGCCAGUCGAGAGAUGCGUCAGGCAUAUGGCGUGUAUGGUCGCCUUAGCGACAUGAUCCAUAAUACUAGAAAAAAAAAUUUGUAUGGAAUAUUUUAAUUUAUUAAUCACAUAAUAAUAUCAUUCUAAUUGAACAUAAGUGACAUAUUAUAGUUGAAACCUAUACUGAUGAGCCGACAUCAAUGGGUACUAUGUUAAGAACUGCCGAUGGAUGACCUAAUCGACCUAGGCCCUCGCUGACGCUGACGUCUAGCAUUUGUGUAUAUGUUUAAUAUAGUUAUGACAUUGAUAAAUUAUAGUAAAUGAAUGUUUAAUAUAGUUAUGAAAAAAAGUGUUAACUCACUAGCUGAUGAAGACGACCUGCCCUGGGAGCCAUCACCCGAUCCAUCGUGGCCGCCACCACGGCCACCUCCACCACUAUGUCUAGGCAUAGUUGUACUACUAAAAUAACAAACAUAAAUUACAUUAAUUAAAUUUCAUUGCAAUUAUUCUAAUGAUUAUUUUAGUUGUAUAAUAUUUACAAAACAUGAAUUAGUGAAAAAGUAGCAUGUCGUCAAACCCAUCAGAAUCAAAAUAAUUUUCAUCCUCUAAUUCUGUCUCUUCCUCUUUUGUAUCAAUUUCUUCCUCAGUAUCAUCUUCUACCAUCACGUAUGGACUGACAACCACAUCUUCUUCCACUUCAUCAACAUUGGGUACGUCAACGACAUCAUCUACCAAUACAUCGCCAUCAUAUAGCAAUACAUGGCUGGGAUUGCUAACUUGUUCUUGCAAUGGGUCAUCUGUUCUAGAAAAAUUAGUACCAUCAAAUGACCGAGUCUUAGUUGUCACAAUUGUAUACCAGGGGGUUCUAGAAUUUAUGACAUUAGGGGCGUAGUACACUUGAGUUGCUUAGCUGGCUAACACAAAUACGUCAUCAGAUUGUAACUUGAAUUUUAUAUCUACUCUGACGAUUCUAUUACGAUCAAGUUUAACACCCUUUGCAGUAUCAAACUAUCGACACUUAAAUGUAAUGGCCUUUUUGGCCCCUAGAUAAUUGAGCAUAACAACUUCCUCUAAUCUUCCAUAGUAACUGGACUCAGAAUCUCCGUAACAACUUCCCAACAUGAGAGCCCCAGAGUUGACUGAUGUCAAUUCAUUCACGUCAUUAACCUUGAAUCUAUACCCAUUCACGAUGCAGCUUGGAAAUGAACUAAUAAGUUUGUACGGGCCUAAAAUGACAUCUCUAAAAUGCUCAUAAGUGUUCUCUUCUUCGACCCUUCUGUUAAACCACUGUUGAAAAUUUUCAUUAGUGAAUGCUUCCAUCUGUGAUGUAGUCAACCCCUGGUUAGAAGCUUGCACUUCCAAUAAGAAUGAACUGCGUACAAUAAUAUGGCAAUUGUUUAAUUAUUGAUUAAGGUUAGAUAAAUCAUUUUUAUCUUGUAAUAAUACAUACUUGAUAUACGAAGAUACUUCAGGCAUAUUUAGAAGCACGUAUAUAGAUACAAUCUUUAAAUCUUUAUCGGUUAGGUAAGUCUUUGUCUCAUGUCCAAAUGGUUUAGUUGGAUAAGUGAAUACAACCAACUCAUCAGCACGACCAGACGGAUCGACGACCUUAUUCCGACUUAAACGGUUGUGCUUCGUUGCGACUACAUCAUCAAAGAACAAUGAGCAGAUGUUGACAAACUCUUCCUCCGUAUAGCGUUCAGCAAUAGAACCUUCUAUACGAGCUUUAUUUUUAACUUUCUGCUUUAAUCGAUGUAUAUACCUGAAAUAUGACAGUUUCAGACAAGUUAAUUAUAAAAAUGACAAAUAUUGCACAAUGUAUGUGAUAUUACCUCUCAAAAGGAUACAUCCAUCAAUAUUACACCGGUCCUCCAAGCUUAAGUUCAUAUGAUAGAUGAAUAGGCAAAUGCACCAUGCUGUCAAAGAACCCCGGUGGUAAGAUCAUUUCUAGCUUGCACAUUAUCAACACUAUGUUUUUCUCCAUCUACUCCACAUCACUAUACCUUAUAAUAGUUGAGAAAAUAUCCCAAACGAAAUUUUAAAGUGUGGUAAAGGUAUCAUUAAUAUUCCUGGGUAACACCUCACAAAAUGAAAUUGGCACCAACUUCUGCAUGAAUAUAUGAAAGUAGUCACUUUUGAACCCAGUAAUUUUCAACUGCUCAACCUUAGUAUAAUGAGAUAUGUUAGAAUCAUAUCCAUCUGGGAGCUUCAAUGCGCUAAGCCACCUGCAAAUGUUUUCAACCUAUUGUUUGGUAAGAUAAAAUGGAGCUUUUGGUUUUGAGUUGUUAGGUCGGAGCCACAAUUCCUGCCUGAUAUUCAUUUCCUCCAAGUCUUUACGUGUUUUAUCAUUUUCUUUUGCUUUACCACUCGUAUCUAGUACGAUGUAAAACAAGUUCUCGAAUACAUUUUUUCCUGUAUGCAUAACAUCUAUACAAUGACAAAGUGCUAGUGUGACCCAGUAUAGCAACUCAAACCAAAUCGACGAGUGUGUCCAGUUAUGACUUUUCCCAUAUCCUAUUGCUCUGAACUUACCAUGCUCCUUCCCAGACGGUGGAAAUGUUAGAUCAUUUAUGUAAGACCCCAACUUUUAUGAAUAAAGAUUAAUUUUCUAAAUAUCAUUUUGAGUAUUAAGGUAUGGAUUUAAUAUAAUGUUAUAGUUGUGGAUAAUAUUUAUAAAUUUUGCAAAGUAAGCAAGUUGUCAUAAAAUAUUCAUUUGGUCGGGGAAUAUUCAUUUUAUCAGGGAAUAUUCGUAUGAUGGCGCAAUCAUUGGUGGACCCCACAAUGGAAUUACUAUCGGAGUUAGAAAAUGACAGAAAUAACUUUUUAUAAAAAUAACGGCAAAGGUUUUACCGUUAACUGUUGAAAUACCCGGUGAUAAAAUUACAGUAAUACGCGUGGUUGCAUAGUAGCACACGGUAUUGUACAGUAUCUUUGAUUAUUGAUGCUUACGUGAGAAGUCACUCAAUUUUAUUCAAUUAUUGCCACAUUAAUUGUUGGAUAGUAUCUCACAGUAUUGAUUCAAUUAUUGUUAUAAUAUUUUAUAUUAUUAAAUCAAUAUUUGAGAUGACAAAGUUAUUUAUAUUAUUAUUUGUAUUAUUGACAAUGUUUAGAAAAUUCUGUCGAGGAAAGGGGUUUGGUCACCUAAUUGCGCGCCAAUAAGGAGAAAUAAUUAUCAGAAAGCCCCCUCUUUCUUGGGAAUGAUCUGGUUAUUAAUAUUGCGAGUUAUAAUAUUAAUGAUGAAUAAAUGUUGUUAAAAAUGUGCUUUGUGAAGCCAAAUGAGUUGAGAUAAAUAUAGGGGUAUUUUAUGAAGUAUUUGUUAUAAAUUUUGCUUAUUAUAUGGACCCCCACUUACCCAUUUUUCAAAAUCGUCGGUAGAAGGUUAUCUCACGUUUGUUUAUAUAUAUAUAUAUAUAUAUAUAUAUAUAUAUAUAUAUAUAUAUAUAUAUAUAUAUAAGUUUUUUUAUGUAAAAUAGAAUAUAUUAUAUUUUAUUUGAUUGCAUAGUGUUGCAUAGUACUGCAUAAUUUCAGACGAAUUCGUUCGCUCGUGAAAAACUUAAUGUUGGUCCGUCAUUUUAUUUUCUAAAUAGUACCCUAACAUUCUCCUAUAAAUAGAAUGCUUAAUUUAGAAUUAAAAAUCACACCAGAAUCAGAGAAUUCUUCUUCUAUAAUAUUGAGCAUAUUUCGUUAGAGUUUAAAGAAGCUUUGAGUGUAGAAAACAGUGCAAGUUUUUUUCAAGAAUAUCUCCGCCCUACCAGUCAGAAAUACUCUCCUUUUAAGGUAAGAGGUAUUAUUUAUUUCAUAUUUGCUUACGAUAUUAUUUUUCGUAUUCGUAAAAAAUUUUAUUUUCGUUCAAUAUUCGUAAGGAAUAUUAUUUUUGUUCAAUAUUCGUAAGGAAUAUUAUCUUCAUUCAAUAUUCGUAAGAAAUGUUAUUUUCGUUCAACAGUUGUAAGGGAUAUUAUUUUUAUUCAAUAUUCGUAAGAAAUAAUAUUUUCUUUCAUACUUUGUAGUAUGUAAGUAAUAUUAUUUCGUUUCAGAUUCUGAAUUCUACACUCAUUUUGUUAAGUAUUGCUUCUAUACUCCUUGAAAUUAGUAGAAUAUCCUUAAAAUUUGCGCUUCAUCUAGUAUCUUUUCAUGAAAAUAUUAUUCUGAACAUUCUUGUUAAUUUUUAAUCUUUUCAUGCCGGAGUACUACUCACGACGUACGUUUCCCGAAGUACUAUUCACGGGGUACUAUUCACUUAGGUACUAUUCACCCGUGGUACUAUUCAUGACAAAAAUUGAUUUCUUUUCUGUCCAAAUUAUUUUUGAUACAAUAUUAUUCUUGAAUUUUACUCCACAAAGCAGUAUCAUGUUCAUAAUUUGGACAUUAUUAAAUUCUGGAUAAAUUGAAUUAUAAAUCUUUAAAAUUUAACCUUGUUCUCAUUUAAUUGAACUCUUAUAUUAUUGUUAUCAUCCGGUGCAGUUAAACUUGUUGUUUAUUGUAUUCAAUCAUUUUAACACCGUUGAAGGCUAACGAUAAUUUAUUCUGCAUUAUCUUAGUCAUAAUAUUUCUUUCUGGGCUAGUUGAGCUCACCCUUUGCUUUCAUCAUUCUCUUCAGGAAAUGAGAGCAUAGCGGGACUAGUCGGGGAAUGGAGUGACGAUCCGAGAUGGUGGCUGUAGUAUUCAUCAUUAUUCUAUAAAAUAGUGUGAUAAUAAUUGUAAUGAGGACUCUAUUUGAGUUUGGAUAUUGUCUAAAAGACAAUAUUCGUGUUAAAACUCUC